CCUACGGGAGGCAGCAGUAGGGAAUAUUGGUCAAUGGACGCAAGUCUGAACCAGCCAUGCCGCGUGAAGGAUUAAGGCCCUCUGGGUUGUAAACUUCUUUUAUAGGGGACGAAAAAAGGGCAUUCUUGCUCACUUGACGGUACCCUAGGAAUAAGCACCGGCUAACUCCGUGCCAGCAGCCGCGGUAAUACGGAGGGUGCAAGCGUUAUCCGGAUUUACUGGGUUUAAAGGGUGCGUAGGUGGGUUGGUAAGUCAGUGGUGAAAUCUUCGAGCUUAACUCGGAAACUGCCAUUGAUACUAUCAAUCUUGAAUCAUCUAGAGGUAAGCGGAAUAUGUCAUGUAGCGGUGAAAUGCUUAGAUAUGACAUAGAACACCAAUUGCGAAGGCAGCUUACUAUGGAUGCAUUGACACUGAGGCACGAAAGCGUGGGGAUCAAACAGGAUUAGAUACCCUGGUAGUCCACGCCCUAAACGAUGGAUACUCGACAUUUGUGAUAUACAAUAAGUAGUCUGAGCGAAAGCAUUAAGUAUCCCACCUGGAAGUACGACCGCAAGUUGAAACUCAAAGUGAAAUUGACGG
RNAcentral lists this ribosomal RNA (579 nucleotides) under uncultured bacterium. Its description in RNAcentral is "bacterial SSU rRNA". It matches the Rfam family "Bacterial small subunit ribosomal RNA", at positions 338 to 916 of the family's 1533-position model. The record is from RNAcentral.